CGUGCCAAAUGAAAACAUCACUUCCGAACUAGAGGAGGUUCCGGUUCUUUCGUAAAUACUUCUCCUCUUUGCUGAGAAUGUAUCUUGCUUCCUUGUUGUCUUGAUCUUAAGUGAAAAACUUCCUUGAAAAUAAGCCGAAAAAAUGCCUUCGAACUACCAUUGGCAGAGUAAGGGCAAUGUUAAAGCGAGUGGGGUGGAAGAUAUGGUUCUUCUGCCGAAGAUCCAAGAAGCGGCGAUCGUGGAGAACCUAAAGAAACGUUAUAUGGACGACCUUAUUUUCACCUACAUUGGUCCAGUGUUGAUCUCUGUCAACCCAUUCAAACAAAUGCCAUACUUUACAGACAAAGAGAUUGACCAGUAUCAGGGAGCUGUGAGUAAAAACAUCUUGUCCUGAAGACACUAAUUAAAGCCUGGUUUUCACCAUGAUAUAAGCACAAGUAUAAGCAUAAUGGUAGUGAGUAUGUCCACUAGAUGCAUGGGGAGAAUGGAUAGUGGCUUAUUUUUGGUUCCGUGUAUACCUCCUCGAAACAGCAUUUUAAAAAGGAUGGCGGACUUAUGCUUGUGCUUAUGU
Long non-coding RNA from Orbicella faveolata, 571 nucleotides. NCBI's taxonomy places the organism in Eukaryota, Metazoa, Cnidaria, Anthozoa, Scleractinia, Merulinidae. The record is from RefSeq and is a predicted model, not a curated record.